This 220-nucleotide ribosomal RNA is filed under the name uncultured bacterium. Its description in RNAcentral is "partial 16S ribosomal RNA". It matches the Rfam family "Bacterial small subunit ribosomal RNA", at positions 1282 to 1500 of the family's 1533-position model. The record is from RNAcentral.
AACGUCUCAGUUCGGACUGUGGGUCUGCAACCCGACCACACGAAGCUGGAAUCGCUAGUAAUCGCGAAUCAGAAUGUCGCGGUGAAUACGUUCCCGGGCCUUGUACACACCGCCCGUCACACCAUGAGAGUCGGGAACACCCGAAGUCCGUAGCCUAACCGCAAGGAGGGCGCGGCCGAAGGUGGGUUCGAUAAUUGGGGUGAAGUCGUAACAAGGUAGC